This 497-nucleotide ribosomal RNA is filed under the name uncultured bacterium. RNAcentral's name for it is "partial 16S ribosomal RNA". It matches the Rfam family "Bacterial small subunit ribosomal RNA", at positions 28 to 507 of the family's 1533-position model. The record is from RNAcentral.
GAUGAACGCUGGCGGCGUGCCUAAUACAUGCAAGUCGAGCGAACAGACGAGGAGCUUGCUCCUCUGACGUUAGCGGCGGACGGGUGAGUAACACGUGGAUAACCUACCUAUAAGACUGGGAUAACUUCGGGAAACCGGAGCUAAUACCGGAUAAUAUAUUGAACCGCAUGGUUCAAUAGUGAAAGACGGUUUUGCUGUCACUUAUAGAUGGAUCCGCGCCGCAUUAGCUAGUUGGUAAGGUAACGGCUUACCAAGGCAACGAUGCGUAGCCGACCUGAGAGGGUGAUCGGCCACCCUGGAACUGAGACACGGUCCCGACUCCGAAGGGAGGCAGCAGUAGGGAAUCCUCCGCAAUGGGCGAAAGCCUGACGGAGCAACGGCGCGUGAGUGAUGAAGGUCUUCGGAUCGUAAAACUCUGUUAUUAGGGAAAAACAAAUGUGUAAGUAACCAUGCACGUCUUGACGGUACCUAAUCAGAAAGCCACGGCUAACUACGUG